AGAGGGAAAGACUGUGUAAACAACACUGUGUUUGAAUUCUGGAAAGCUGCAUCCAAGAGGUUUGCAAGAAGUUCCUGUGGUGUGGUCCAGGCGGUGCUCAACGGGUCCCACAAUAACACCUUUGAUAAAAACAGCAUUUUUCUAAGUGUGGAAGUCCCUAAUUUGAAUCCAAAGAAUGUUACUUCAUUUCAUCUCUUCCUGACGUAUGAGACUGGAGGAAAUGUCAGGCACAGAUGCUUGAGUGACGAGGUCGAUUAUCUGAAAUCGAUUGUAAAUGAGAAUGGAAUUCCAUUUACCUGCGAGGAGAUUACAGAAAAUGACUUGCUCUUGAAGAAGAAAUAGCCAUCUUGCCAUCUGUGGGCAUUUUCCCUGGGGCCUGGAUGGAGAUCUGGGAUGGUGACCUAUGGUGACCUCUCUUCCUCCGCCUCCACCCCCCAGCCUCCCCCAGAAGUGUUCACAGCCAGGGACCUUCUGAAGAAAACAGGCUGC
Molecule: non-coding RNA, 489 nt
Organism: Miniopterus natalensis
Lineage: Eukaryota; Metazoa; Chordata; Mammalia; Chiroptera; Miniopteridae
Source: RefSeq, a predicted model, not a curated record